Molecule: transfer RNA, 74 nt
Filed under: Periweissella ghanensis
Lineage: Bacteria; Bacillati; Bacillota; Bacilli; Lactobacillales; Lactobacillaceae
Also listed under: 2 other names
Description: tRNA-Arg
Rfam family: tRNA
About the family: Transfer RNA (tRNA) molecules are approximately 80 nucleotides in length. Their secondary structure includes four short double-helical elements and three loops (D, anti-codon, and T loops).
Source: RNAcentral
GUCGGGCUAGCUCAGCUGGAUAGAGCAACAGUCUUCUAAACUGUAGGUCAUGGGUUCGAAUCCCAUGCUCGACA